GUAAUUCUAGAGCUAAUACAUGCUAAAAACCUCGACUUCGGAAGGGGUGUAUUUAUUAGAUAAAAAACCAAUGCCCUUCGGGGCUCCUUGGUGAAUCAUAAUAACUUAACGAAUCGCAUGGCCUUGCGCCGGCGAUGGUUCAUUCAAAUUUCUGCCCUAUCAACUUUCGAUGGUAAGAUAGAGGCUUACCAUGGUCUUAACGGGUAACGGGGAAUUAGGGUUCUAUUCCGGAGAGGGAGCCUGAGAAACGGCUACCACAUCCAAGGAAGGCAGCAGGCGCGCAAAUUACCCAAUCCCGACACGGGGAGGUAGUGACAAUAAAUACUGAUACGGGGCUCUUUUGGGUCUCGUAAUUGGAAUGAGUACAAUCUAAAUCCCUUAACGAGGAACAAUUGGAGGGCAAGUCUGGUGCCAGCAGCCGCGGUAAUUCCAGCUCCAAUAGCGUAUAUUAAAGUUGUUGCCGUUAAAAAGCUCGUAGUUGAACCUUGGGCCUGGCUGACCUGUCCUCCUAAUCGAGCGCACGGGUUCGGUCGGGCCUUUCCUUCUAGGGAACCCCAUGCCCUUCACUGGGUGUGGUGGGGAACUAGGACUUUUACCUUGAAAAAAUUAGAGUGUUCAAAGCAGGCCUUUGCUCGAAUACAUUAGCAUGGAAUAAUAGAAUAGGACAUCGGUUCUAUUUUGUUGGUUUCUAG
RNAcentral lists this ribosomal RNA (692 nucleotides) under Chaetothyriales sp. RNAcentral describes it as "SSU rRNA". It matches the Rfam family "Eukaryotic small subunit ribosomal RNA", at positions 152 to 854 of the family's 1831-position model. The record is from RNAcentral. Lineage: Eukaryota; Fungi; Ascomycota; Eurotiomycetes; Chaetothyriales.